This 514-nucleotide ribosomal RNA is filed under the name uncultured bacterium. Its description in RNAcentral is "partial 16S ribosomal RNA". It matches the Rfam family "Bacterial small subunit ribosomal RNA", at positions 28 to 523 of the family's 1533-position model. The record is from RNAcentral.
GACGAACGCUGGCGGCGUGCCUAAUACAUGCAAGUCGAGCGGACGAAUCGAAAGCUUGCUUUUGAUUCGUUAGCGGCGGACGGGUGAGCAACACGUGGGCAACCUGCCCUGUAGACGGGGAUAACACCGAGAAAUCGGUGCUAAUACCGGAUAACACGAAAUGUCGCAUGACGUUUCGUUGAAAGACGGCGCAAGCUGUCGCUACAGGAUGGGCCCGCGGCGCAUUAGCUAGUUGGUGAGGUAACGGCUCACCAAGGCGACGAUGCGUAGCCGACCUGAGAGGGUGGUCGGACACACUGGGAGUGAGACACGGCCCAGACUCCUACGGGAGGCAGCAGUAGGGAAGCUUCCGCAAUGGACGAAAGUCUGACGGGGCAACGCAGCGUGAGCGAAGAAGGCCUUCGGGUCGUAAAGCUCUGUUGUUAGGGAAGAACAAGUAACGCAGUAACUGGCGUUACCGUGACGGUACCUAACGAGAAAGCCACGGCUAACUACGUGCCAGCCGCCGCGGUAA